Molecule: long non-coding RNA, 1299 nt
Organism: Peromyscus eremicus (cactus mouse)
Lineage: Eukaryota; Metazoa; Chordata; Mammalia; Rodentia; Cricetidae
Exons: 3
Source: RefSeq, a predicted model, not a curated record
GAAGGCCCUGUCAAGAUCCCAGCAUCCUGCCUUUAAGACUUCUUCUCCGGACCCUUGAGACAGAUAAACUUCUGUUCUUUCCUUGCUGCUUCCAUCUAGACAGACAGUGAACGCUGCCCAACUUCCUCAUCCAUGUGAAGCAGAUGAUCAAUAUCAUGAAUACAUGAGGCUUGGAACAGGCAAGGAGCAGCCGUUAACUCCAUGAAAGCAGUAGUAGAGACAAAAAGGAAAGAUGAAAUAUACCAAAUCUUUUGCCAGAGGCUUGUGAUGAAGACAUUUGAAGCAGGCAUUGGGACACAGACCCGAGUUCAGCCUUGCAUCUGUCUGCUUUUUGGUUUGCUUCUCUUGAACAGUACUGAGUCAUAGAAACUUCUGUGAUGAUGAAAUAUUCCCUAUCAGAGCUGUUCAGUGUGGUUGCUACUAGUCAUAUGUGGACAAUGAACACUUGACCACAAAACUGGGGUGUCUAAUAUUUGAUAGAAACCAAUUCAUAUGUAAAGGCAAAUUGACACCUGUGACCAUUGGCUACCAUAUCGGACCACAUAGCUCUAGAUCAUUAGAGACAGAGUUCUCUACUGUACAUGCUCAGUAGAGACUGAAGAGGGUUUUGUAAUUGUCUUCUGAAGAAUGAAGGAAUUAUGAAUUAUAAAGAAAUGUUUCAGCCAAAAAUGUUUCUCUUGCCAAAAAAGGAAAAGGAAACUGUCUAAAAUAAAAAUCCAAGUCUGAAAUGAAAGAAAAAAGCAACGAUGUCAUAUGCCAACAAUAUGGCUGCCUAAACAAGACCUUAACAAUGACAAUACAGUAGACAUGGUGGCAGGGAAGGGGGAAAUAGGCAACUAAUGACCACUUGGUGAGGAAGGAUUAGUCUUUCUCAAGGAUGAGCCCCCUACUCGGUUAUCCAAAAUAAGUGGUCUGCCCCCAAAUCAUAUGUAUAUACAAACAACACUAAACAGACUCAGCUGGUUGUAUUUACAUAUUCCUGUAUAUAUGUAUAUGUAUGUGUGUGUAUGUAUGUAACAAUAAUAAAGGCAAAAAGGUAAUUUAAGAAGGAGUGAAGUGAGGUCAUGGAAAGGGUUGGAGGGAGGAAAGAGAAGCAGGGGAAAUAUUACAAUUAUAUAUUAAUUAGAUAAAAAUCUAGUUAUAAAAAGAGCAACAAUAAAAAUGGUCAAGUGAAAACUAUUGCUUCAGAAGAAGAAGGUUUCUUUAAAACAAUUACUUGCUUGUGUACUUGAUGAGGAAUAGUUUGACCAAAGUUUUGUAUUUUCUCUAUGUCUUAGUAAAUGUAUACAAACAAUUAUC